This 496-nucleotide ribosomal RNA is filed under the name uncultured bacterium. Its description in RNAcentral is "bacterial SSU rRNA". It matches the Rfam family "Bacterial small subunit ribosomal RNA", at positions 28 to 507 of the family's 1533-position model. The record is from RNAcentral.
GAUGAACGCUAGCUACAGGCUUAACACAUGCAAGUCGAGGGGAAACGACAUCGAAAGCUUGCUUUUGAUGGGCGUCGACCGGCGCACGGGUGAGUAACGCGUAUCCAACCUGCCCACCACUUGGGGAUAACCUUGCGAAAGUAAGACUAAUACCCAAUGAUAUCCCACGAAGGCAUCCGAAUGGGAUUAAAGGUUUAUCGGUGAUGGAUGGGGAUGCGUCUGAUUAGCUUGUUGGCGGGGUAACGGCCCACCAAGGCUACGAUCAGUAGGGGUUCUGAGAGGAAGGUCCCCCCACAUUGGAACUGAGACACGGUCCAAACUCCUACGGGAGGCAGCAGUGAGGAAUAUUGGUCAAUGGACGAGAGUCUGAACCAGCCAAGUAGCGUGCAGGACGACGGCCCCUAUGGGGUUGUAAACUGCUUUUUAUAAGGGAAUAAAGUGAGCUACGUGUAGCUUUUUGCAUGUACCUUAUGAAUAAGGACCGGCUAAUUCCGUG